RNAcentral lists this ribosomal RNA (560 nucleotides) under Roseicyclus sp. Its description in RNAcentral is "bacterial SSU rRNA". It matches the Rfam family "Bacterial small subunit ribosomal RNA", at positions 47 to 654 of the family's 1533-position model. Lineage: Bacteria; Pseudomonadati; Pseudomonadota; Alphaproteobacteria; Rhodobacterales; Roseobacteraceae. The record is from RNAcentral.
CGCCUAACAUGCAGUCGAGCGAGAUCUUCGGAUCUAGCGGCGGACGGGUGAGUAACGCGUGGGAACGUGCCCUUCUCUACGGAAUAGUCCCGGGAAACUGGGUUUAAUACCGUAUACGCCCUUCGGGGGAAAGAUUUAUCGGAGAAGGAUCGGCCCGCGUUGGAUUAGGUAGUUGGUGGGGUAAUGGCCUACCAAGCCGACGAUCCAUAGCUGGUUUGAGAGGAUGAUCAGCCACACUGGGACUGAGACACGGCCCAGACUCCUACGGGAGGCAGCAGUGGGGAAUCUUAGACAAUGGGCGCAAGCCUGAUCUAGCCAUGCCGCGUGAGUGACGAAGGCCCUAGGGUCGUAAAGCUCUUUCACCAGGGAUGAUAAUGACAGUACCUGGAGAAGAAACCCCGGCUAACUCCGUGCCAGCAGCCGCGGUAAUACGGAGGGGGUUAGCGUUGUUCGGAAUUACUGGGCGUAAAGCGCGCGUAGGCGGGCUGUUAAGUCGGGGGUGAAAUCCCGGGGCUCAACCCCGGAACUGCCCUCGAUACUGGCAGCCUAGAGUUCGAGAG